Molecule: long non-coding RNA, 222 nt
Filed under: Trifolium pratense (red clover)
Lineage: Eukaryota; Viridiplantae; Streptophyta; Magnoliopsida; Fabales; Fabaceae
Description: long non-coding RNA (TPRA_LNC010075)
Source: RNAcentral
UGGAUCGAGUAACCUCUUCCUUUAUCCAAGAAAAAAACAUUUUUUGUUUGCAUGGUCCAAUCAUUGAUCCUGAAAAUUUCUACAAUAAGAUUAGGUAGGUUACUGGCACAGUUCGAUAUCCAUGAUUCCGCUAUUUUAUUUUCCUAGAAUAUAGGAAGAAUACGAGUAGAACGAAAAAUAAUACGUUCCAUUUUGAAUGUUUAGCUUUUAUAUACAAAAAAA